Molecule: long non-coding RNA, 30603 nt
Filed under: Musa acuminata (dwarf banana)
Lineage: Eukaryota; Viridiplantae; Streptophyta; Magnoliopsida; Zingiberales; Musaceae
Description: long non-coding RNA (MACU_LNC008136)
Source: RNAcentral
UGGGCAUUCGAUUCGAGAUGAUCUUCGUGGACAUUUGCUAUGGAACCGUAGUGUUCAGAGGAGCUAGGUGGGAAAGGAAAGAACUGGGAUUUGAACAUGCAGUAAAUGCUAGCCAUUAUGACCCAUCCUAUAUUGGGCCAGGCCAGGAAGCUGAUCCUGAAACUGCCAACAUUCCAUCCGAUAUAGUAGAUGAGAUCCAUACAUCCUGAUUUCCCUAAUUGAAACAUUAUGAAACUGCCAACAUUCUAUCCGAUAUAGUAGAGCCAUAACCCUUCUUUCCCUUAUUGAAACAUUCUAUCCGAUAUAGCAGAUAAGAGCCAUCUACCUAUCUUGUAUUUCCCUUACUUAUUGGUGGGGUUGGUCGGACUUCCUUCAUGGUAAUCAUUAAAGUAGAACAUUCCAGUAAAAGACUUCAUGGUGCGUGCCAAUCAUUCAAAGUGGUGAUCUGGGCAGAAGUAGCUAGAGGCAAACCACUCAGAUGCCCAGUCAGCUAAGCUUCUAUGGCUGUGGGGGGCCGAAUUAUUUAAGUAGUCAGUUUCGGAGCUUAGUCUUAAUUAAUUAUAUAAGAAGUCUUUUGCAUAAGUUAACAUAUUCCAUAAGAUAGAACUUCCUAUAAAACCAACGGAAACUACAUCUCUAUUCUCUCUAUUAUGCCUCUGCCCUUUAAUAAGCAGGGUUUGAUUAUGCCGAGAUAUAUUCGAUUCUUGACUUAUGCCGAGAUAUAUUCGAUUCUUGACUUAAGUAAUAGCUGUGAGAUUACUAAGUAAUAGCUGUGAGAUUACUAAAAGAUAUCCCAUGUGCUCGAGACUCGAGAGAUUCCAUUCUGCACUUCUUGUAGAGUGAAAAACCAUAUUGGUAAGAUAUACUAUUGGAUUCUAUUAGAAGUAGUGUCAAUCAUUGAAAAUCAAAUAUGCAAAUCAAAAUGGUGGAAGGGUUUGGACUAUGCUUAUAGAAGAAGUGACUAAUAUUCCAUUUGGAAGCUUCAUUCCUAUAUUUCCAGAUCAGCCAUAAAGAGUGGGCACUGCUAGCUCGAAGGGAUUAGAUUUAUGUUUAGUCAAGUCACGCGUACCCAUUUAGUAUGAAUAAUAGAAACACAUAUUGAGGAUGAAUAAUGGAAACACAUAUGAAAUGAGUAAAAACACUCCGGACUCCUAUGACUAUAAAGAAUAGAAAGAAGAUAGCGUCACACAUAUAGAAAGAAGUAAACAAUCUCCUUACUAUCCUUAAGGAACCUUUCAUACAAUGAACAGAUGGGUACUGCCGAAGAUUGACUUUUCCAAAUCCAGAAGAUUGUAUAGACCCAAUGGGACCGAAUCUGACCUAAACCCCAGCGCCCUAAGAGAAGGAACUCACGUAAGCACCCGCUUAUAUACAAUACUAGCAUAUUACCCCUGACCCCGGAGAUACAAGACGGAACUCUAUUCCCUUGAAUCACCCCUAUCUUAAAUCACCCCUAUAAUAAUUGAUUGAUGUCGGCACCCCCAACUUGUAAAGAAGGGAAUGAGUGACUAUGACUUUUCAUGUACGAUACUCAACUCCCUUCCUUCUUUAAUAACAUGACUUUUCAUAUACUAAACUCAACUCCCUUCCUUCUUUAAUAACAUGACUUUCGAAUAUAUAUAUCUAUAUGAUACGCGACUAACGGAUAUCUCCUUUCAGAUUCUCACUUUCAGAGUCAAUAGAUUCUCCCACAUGCGUCUAAUCGGUUUCAGUUCCGCUAUUGCUUUCUUUUCGGUUUCAGUUCUGUUAUUGCUUUCCUUGUGGCUUCCUCUCUCUCUCUUUCCUGAUGGUGAAUAACCGCUCUUUGAUUUUAUGUCGGAAGUUACAUCUAAGGGUAAAUAAGAGAUGGCAUCGAAAAGGAGGGCCUAAGAAAGAGUGUCUCGAUAAGGUGCGGAUGCCUGAUUGACCAUACUCUCCUUCGACACAGGAAGGGAAGCAUCGAAUUGCCUUAGUGGGAUAGCUUAGUUCAAUAGUGAGUUCUUAGUGGGAUGGGAUAAGCUUAGUUCAUUAGUUCUUUUCUAGUAGGAAGGAAUAAGGCGAAAACUUAGAGUUUGUUACAGCCCAGCCCUAAACUGAGUUUCAGAACGAAAGAAUCGCACAAUGGUGGAGAUGACCAGAAGCUUCUUAAAGAGAAGGGGCAAAGAAGGUUGCCUUGGAAGUGAUUCAGUUAGAGAGCCGGUUACCGAAAAGCACCUUUAGCUGGGGUCUAUCGAAGACGAAGAGGGGAUUCUUUCUCUCUUCCCCACAUCCACAAGACGAUGAAAAACAAAUAUAUGCCAUUCGAUUCUUUCCUAUUUAAUAAGAGAUGGGAAAGGCAAGGAGCGUCCAUAAGAUAAAGUAUAGAGCUGGAGUGGUUGGGAAGUAGUCUAUAAGAUUGAUUAUAGAUCUCAGGGGUCGGGAAUGAAUUACAGAGGACUGGGUUCAGGUCAAGAAUCCGGUAUACUUUUCUAUGUUGGUGCCGAUAUAAGUUCUUCAAGCUUCAAGUCGGAUGUUAGGUUACAUAAUGUUCUCAGAUGUAUAUUAGAUUCUUUAGAGUGGAGAGUUCUUUUACUUCAUUAUAGAAUCCGUGUGAAACAAAGCAACUCGAGGUGCACUUCCUUUUUCUAUUAACUUAUCCCUCCCAGGCUUUCUGAGACCUGUGCGAGAAAUGCCUUUAGCACGAAUUCGUCAGAUACGAAGCUCAGGGGUGGGAAUCAAUUUCUUAUAAUGACUUUUUGGUUGCUUUUCUAUUCUCUUCUCAUUCUCUAUCUAAUGAUAAAGAGAAAUAUCAAGUGCUCUUUUGUGUCUCAGUGAAGGCCAGGCCCCCAAUCCCUUCUUUAAAUGGAUCUUAUCCUGUGCUUAGGAUCACUCUGCGCCUAUGAACCCGAAAAAGGAGGUCGUUUUGAACUUCUUCUUUCUUCUAAUGAGGGAGAGGUCUCACUUCUUCUUUCUUCUAAUUAGGUCAUUCAUGUCAUGGCUCGCUCAGUUUGCUCGCGGGCGCCCAUUCCAGCCCGAGUUUGUGAAAGGAAGGCUAGAGAGGUGGGUCUCUCCUGAUUGAGUUCGCCAUCGUCCACAUCACUAGAUUCUAUCCCUUGCCCUAACUCUCCAUUUGGUGAGAAGGAAGUCAGCUUCAUCUUUCCACCCCUGCUGUCCAUCUCCGUUUCAAUUCUGCCCUCAUACACCUACUCCUUUCGGACUCGGUAAAGAAGCUAUCAGGUAAUAAAUCAAUCCCGGCAAACCACUGGAAUAUGAUCUUAUCUUGGGCAAACAAACAAUAAAUCCAUUAAUGAAUUUCAGAAAGAAGAGCUUAUUGUUCCAAUUAGAUACUAGAAAGAAUGGCAGAAGGAAUUAGCUAACUAUUACAAUAAACGAUUGAAAGAUUAACCGAUAUAGGAGUAGCCUUCCUUCUCUCUAUCACUCCUUAGAUGGGGAAUUCAUUCCUGAGAGGAAAGCAAAGGAGCUAAGAGCCUCUAUAUAAUUAAGCGGAAGAUUAAGUGAGGGAAAGGAAAGGCGUCGAACAUCUAAUCUAGGACCGGUCGCCUUUCUCAAAGAGUCUUUAUAUGCUAAAGCAUACAUAUACAUUAUUGGGGAAGUAAGGAAGGAACGCAGAAGAUAAGCCCUAUAGCAUUAUUUGGGAAGUAAGGAAGGGACGCAUAAGCCCAACACAAUAGCAUUAUUUGGGAAGUAAGGAAGGGACGCGGAAACCCACCCUAUAGCAUUAUGGAGUUCUGCGGUGAACUAAUCGCAUCAGGUAUUCUUUGAGUGUCGGAAAAACACGAAAAUGGUAAGCUCAGCUCCAGAGUCUUUUCACUGAAGACAGCUAUCAAGUUCGGCUCUUUGCAGUGCACAAGGCGGAGUUGGGACUGUGGUGAAGUCAAACAGUUCGGACGUGAGCUUGGGGACCUCGGCUUAAACCCACUAUCAGGUAUAAUAAAGGGCAGAAGGAAUGGGAAUAUUUUCCACCCACCAGCACCGACUCAGAUAGAGAUAGGAUCAAAUAGUACCAUAUAAGGGUCAGAUUCUCUCUUUCUAGAUCAAAUAGUACUAUAUGUUGGUCAGAUUCUCUCUUUCUUAGAUCACAGAGUACUAUACAGUUGGUCAGAUUCUCUCUUCUAUAAGAAGUGGUGUCAAUCAUUUUCAAUCCAAUAUGGAAUAGUGUAAAAACACAGCUUUGCUUCCCAAAGAGUCGCGGGGGGUCUGGUUCCACACAAGUAUUGGUAUUGCCAUGAAGCGUGGGCACUUAUUAAUAUUUGACUACUAUUCUCUUCUUCAAGCGUAGUGAAAGUCAAUUCCUAAUCCAGAGCACGCGCCUAUAGGCCACUAGUUACUCAGUUCAAGGUUAGCGCUGGGAAUGAAUGUUAACCAAUUGUAGACAGACAUUCUUUUCUUUCGGCUUUUGGAAGAUAGUCAAUAUGGUUAGUUAUGGUGUCCGUGGUCUUGUUCAAAUGCUUGAUUUCUUUCCUUCCGGGGCAGGAGCAAGAGGUCUGGCUGGCUCUUUUCCUGUUCCACUCAAGUCAUACAAUUAUUGUUAUCGGGGGUGCAUCUGUUGGGGGCGUAAGCGCUGUAGUGAGCUCCACUCGAAAGGCUUGCUGCACCAUCUCCUCGGAUUAGAAUUGGGAGCAAUAGUCGUAGCGGUGUAACUGUGACUUUCCUCUUUCAACAAAGCGAUAAGACUACUUUACUUUACUUCCUUUCCUUGGCUAGAAGAUAGUGAGUGCAUUGAUAUAGAUAAGUUGGAAUCUGAUAGUAAGUGCAUUGAUAUAGAUAAGUUGGAAUCUAGUCAGUGUGCCAAAUACUCUGAGCCAUAGCUUACCUCUUUCUUCUUAGACCGGUUCGCACCCAAAAGGAAUUCAUAAUUUGUGUAAGACAAGAGAGGUUCGCAGACGAGUGAUAGCAGUACAUAGGAAUAAAGAGGAUGAGUAGGAGUCUGUCUUCAAGGGAAGGAAAAGACCUAUAGCCCCAAGCCCCUUAUUGACCAAAGGAGAGUCAAAAAAGCAAAAAAGAAGGUGUUUAAGGCGGGUGCUCACGAGCCUAAUAAGCUGCUAUAGUCAUAAGCUGCUAUAGAUAUAUAGUGAAGUAGCUAAAUCCAGUUCAACUAGAGUCGGUGGGAAAAGAAACCCUGUCAUUCAGUUCCAAUCGAAAGGAAACCAUACUACUCAAAGAAAGUGAAGCACGCAAGUAAGCAAGCAAAAUCUUCUUCUUAUUAUGCCGGGACCCCAAUGCGCAACAUGAUACUAAGCUUAUUCCCUUAACAACUACUGGAGUUGGAGCUGGAUCUGUUGCAUAAGAAUCAUAAGCCUACAAUUAGAUAGCAAUAAAUGAGAUAAAUAAGGGAGUUUAGUAUCUUAUAGAAUAGGGUCAAGAAUCAGGAUCCUCAUAACCCGACCUAUAAUAGUCCUUUAACACCUGUAUACCAAUAUAAUGGCUAAUCCUACACAAACAAACUCUAAGGCGCUUAGGAACAAGCAAAACAAAGGCUUUCAACAAGUGAGGGAAAAAGUAAGAUGUUAGGUUACAAAUUCAUUCUAAGGAUUGUUUCCGAGUUUAGAUAGUGAAUUAGCUAUCAGAGUCAUUUCCCCGAGGCAAGCAAAAGAAUAGAGAGUUUUUGACCCGGUCAUUCGAGUCGAUAUUAUGAAAGUGGAACAGGAACAGGCCAACUUGUAGCAUCUUCUAUUGAAACAGCGGAUUCCAGAGUAGACUUUCCAUCUUAUACCGAUGAUCUUUCCACUUAUUCUUUACCUGUUUAUGCUUUUGCCUAUGAUUCUAGAUAGGAUUCUAUUGUCGACAAGAAAGGAGGCGAGAAGUUACUGUUAAUAAGUUCCAGAGGUCUUACCGAUCAGAUCACUACAAGGGGCUGAAGAACGACAUUCUCUACGACACCUUGCUUCAAAAGCACAAAGAGACUCAACUUCACUUGAGAACCUACCCUUACUUUAAUUCCCCGAACCUGUAUCCUUAUCCUUACGCUUACUUGAUACUUAAUUAGGCGGCUACCUUGGAGUUUGAGCUGAGACUAUUCCUUGCGCCAACUCAGGAUCCAUACUAUUCUCCAGAGUGUUCUUCUUCAUACGAUAUAAGUAGAACUGGGCAAAUAGAAACAGAUGACUUUCCAAGCACAAUAACUCUACUAGACUUAACAGGCACUGCCGAUUCUUCUAAUGUUCCUCUAAUACAGAAUACGGAGAUUUUGCUUAUCGCUUCAAAGCCUGUAAGAUGGUAUGUCUGCCCUGAGUCCGCCCUUCACCCUGCUUCCAAACCAAUACUCUGCUACUGACUCAACUGAAGCAUACCUCACUUCAAAGCCUAAGUACUCUCCUUGCACCCGAGCUCAUUCACUUCCCACAUCUUAUCGAGUAGACUGCUGGAUCUUUGACUCUAACUGCUUACUUUCCGGGCUGUAGUAGCUUGUCCAUUAGUAGUUACUUGUCUAGUCGUUGCUUGGCCCUUUCCUCGCAACAAAGCCUGCACUUAAUUCUUUUCUGCCUUGAACCCGCUCCUCAGCAUGAGAACGGAGAUUGAAGUUUACCUUACUUGCGCUUGAAACACCAGUACUUUCUUCUUCAACUCAAAUGGAAAGACCAUAUUGACUUAGUGCAUAAGAUGGAAUUGAGGCACGCACUGAACAAGCAAGGGUACAAACAAGGGCUUUCGAACAAGCAAAUCUACGAACUCCGUUAGCUUCGGUGUUUGUUUACUACUUUUCUAUACUAUAUGUCAGUUCAACUUCAUUCUGAAUAUUGGACCUCUUAGUUGGAUUUUCUUUCUCUCUUAGUUUCAUUACUUACUUAUUCUUUACUUAGCGCUUCAAAGUCUUUAAUAGCUUAUAGGAAACGGAUCCUAAGAGAGCUUCUGAUCUUACUGCAACACUCGAACCUCUAUAUACUUAAGUACUUAGCGCUGAAGCACUUACUAUAAGAUCUCGGCUACUAACGGAGUUAGCUGAAAAGUGCUUAUAAGCUGUUGCUUGCUCGGCUACAAACUAUCAAUUUGCUUGCUUACUUUGUCUCUGGGUGGUCAGGUCAACUAACCUUCCUUCGCGACGUAGCAUCUGAUACUGGCCUGGCGCGCGCUGAGCUGAAUGACUAACUUCUUUUCAAGCUCCUGUAUCUUUGGCUUCUUCACCGGAUCUGGCUUCUGAUCGAGGAGUCGACUUCACUGGCACUGCUUACUUAUACGAUGAAACUCCAACGGAGAUUCUACUUGAACCCCAACUCCCUACCCUAAUAACUCGGUUAAAGCAAAGGGAAGGUAAAGAACUGAGCUCUACGAUUUAAAGCCAAUAAUAGAACUCGACUUGACAGUGCAGUCUCGUAUACUUUCUUCGCGCCGAACCUCUCUCUAGUUCAACACAAGAAGGAACUCCAUGACAAUACUGGAACCUAUAUAUACGACAAGGAGUGUAAGUGGAACUAGAAGCAAGGCAACAAUCAUUCUAUACUUGAGCCUAGGGUAUACUAAGUAUAGAAACUUCUAAAGAUAUUGCAUUCUCCUUCUUUUGAAUCUGACUGGCUUUGAAACAAGGUGUACUUAAUAUGAGUAUCCUUUAGUUCGAGAGGAAAGUAUAGUUCGCCAAUUGUUCUAGUAUAGUAUAGAACUAUCAGGUAAUCCGAAUAAGAUAUGAGAGUUGGGUGAGAGCUUGAGUUUAGAGGAGAGUCUGUUUGCUUUGGUUGGGUUUACAGCUGACUUUCUUUUCCCUUGGUCCAACUGCUUAACGUUAAGAAAGACAGACCUCUUGGCUCUAAAUAGAUGGGCGUUAGCACUUAGGCAAAGUAUGAACUUAUGAAUUGAUUGAGUGGAAACACCUAAAAGAAAAAGGAAUUGAUUGAGGCAGAUGGAUCCUAGACAAGAGUACUCCAUUAGACUCAAGUACAACAUUCUUAUUGCCCCUUGGUUGUUGCCUAAAUUGGGAUUAGUAGUGGAAUUCUGUAAUUCUACCUUGCAACUUAGUUCUAUUCCCCAGCUUCCUCUCCUUCUUACUUAAAUGCUUACCGAGCCUACCCGCCAAGUAACAACUGUAGACUAGCCUCAUUCAGUUAGCAGAGAGGAGCCGAUACUUCUCUUUCAACAAGCCCUGCUGCUGGCAACUGUUAACUUCCUGCUGUAACUAAAAUAAGUGUUACUAAAAUAUACCACAUGUAACUAAAAUAGAAAACUGCUAACCAAUUGACUUAAGGGCUUGAACUGGGGCAGUACUAGGUAGGCGCUCUCCUUACUUACCUAGCUCAUGACUUCCUUCCCGCUGCAGAAGCACAUUCCCCACGACUAGAAAGAUCUACUCAAACAUUCAUUUAUUAUUGAGCACAUGGGUCCUGAGAUAGAUGAAAAGAAAUACACUGCUUCAGAUACUUCUCUCAAUCCCGCUCCUUAUCUAGCUUAUACUUAUUAUCCUUAUUAUUUUGACUCCUUAACCAAGAACAGAAAGAGACUAGUAGCCAACAACAAUAUGCGCUUCUAAAGUGGAGUUCGACAAAAGAGGGAUGGUGUGGCCUCGCUCGCCAUAGUAAAGUUAGUCAAGUCAGAAUGGAGUUUACAAUUGAAAUGAAUGAGCUGCGCCCGGGGGCCAAGCGUAUACUAAGUCCUUAGUUGGAGGCUCGUCUCCUUUAUUACCAAGUCCUUUGUUCCUACCCAUUUCGAAUAUCUCUUACACAUAUCUCUUUGCAUAAUAUAGACUUACAGAGCGGUAAACAAAGCUUGAAUAGCCUCUUUAUACUUCAACAAGAGCAUAACUUCUAACCUUCACCUAUUGCUUUGAAAGCCAUUGCUUUUUCUUUCCCCUCUCGCGAGCUACUUAACGCAUGGUUGCUUGUUCUUACGCGGAAGACAGGAAUUCCACUUUCCUUGUUGCUGACUUAGCGCUUGCAGCUUGCUUCAGUCUUAACGGAUUCGCUGUUUUCAGAUCCCGAUUAUCCAACGACUCAUUCUAUGUUUUUCCUAUAUAGAUAAGGAACAGGAGUUUUUGAUAAGAAGCUGUGCGCCAAGGUAAGCUUCAAGUAGUUCUUUAAGUGGAGUUCUGAAGUCAGGUUCAGAUAAUUGUGUUGGUGGCAUAAAUCUAAGUUGAGUGUUCUAGGUGUAUUCCCAAUUAUAGAUGUAUAGAGCAUCAGUUCUGAAUUUGAUGUUUGACACUUUCCUGCUUGAAUUGACUUUCCCUUUGCACUCUUGCUUGCUUAUUUGGAAUUGAGUGUAAAAGUGUUUUCAUCGACCUACUUUACUUAACUAACAGAUGAAGAAGAAGCUGGAUCGGGAUAAUCAGCAGAGUUGUAUCUAGGAACAGGCUAAAGUCGUGAUGUUCUAUUCUUGGCUUUACGUCGUGGAGAGGGGAGAGUCGCGCCAUUGUUUGUUGUACUUGCUAUCUUUGCUUGCAUACUUAAGGGAAUUGUUAGGCACCCACCCACGGCCAAAGAGCUUACUUUAGACUUUUGCUUUUAUUGCUGGCAUUGCUGACGCAACUAUAACGUCACUCUUAUUUCCUUGACUUUUAUUGCUGCUUACACCACUGAUUAUCGAGUUGACUUUCGUGCUUCUGAUCCACGGAUCCUGCUUUUUGAACUCUACCACUUGCUUAAUUCAAAUAAGCUUUAUUGGCACCCCUUGACUUACUUGACUCUUGACUUACUUACUACUUCACUCUUGACUUACUUACUAUAAGUAACCAGACUGCUUACUUUACUUAACUAUCUAUAGAGGGAAUCAGACUGCUGACUUCUUGGGGAACAAGCUACUACCGGCUUUAAGGCUGUGUUAACCACUAGGUUCAUUCUGAAAGCAAGAUGAAGCGUUAAGUGAGUGAAGACUGAUUGGCUGCGGUUUGAUUCUGAUCUUAGUAGUUUGUGCACUGCUUCAUUCUUUCAUUCCCCGGUUUUCUUCUUAGGCUCCUACUAGCUCACCGAUGAGUCCCAUUCUUAUACUGCUGAGUUGCAUUCUGUGAUUUACUGGUUUGGUUCUUAGUCUGCUGAGUUUGAUUCUUCCUUUCCUACUUGAUUGUUGAAGACCUAGUUGACUCCGGUUUACUAUAUAAAGAAUAGUAGUAAUUAUGGGCCAAGUAACUACUAAUCUAUAUAAAGAGAAAGAGCCGAGUAACUACUAAUCUGUCUUCGUGCCCAGCUCCUCCAUUCUCUAUUGACUACUAUGCUUAACACAAGCACCCGAGACUUCCCUUCCAAUGAGCACCAACACAAGCACCAAACAAGUCUCUUUGAAACACAAGCACCGAACCCGUCUCUGUGAACUCUUUCUCCUCUACCUAAGUAAACUAAUUCUGAUUUCUUACCCUGACCCGACCUCUCGACUUCCUCUGUGAACUGAACUCUGUCUCCCCUUUCUUGACUUCCCACAACAAGCUUAGGGCCAAGCAACGUUGUAAGACCAAGCCACUACUCACCCUUACCAGAGUAUAAGAACACUCCCCCGUAGUAUUAGUUUAAGACCGCCCCUACUCUUUGGGACAGUCAAACCCUGAUUCUCUUUCUUCCCUUUCCAUUGAUCGGCGAGGAAAGCAGUAAUAUAAGUGGGCACCAAAAUAAGGACUUGCUCUUAAUAAGGGAAGCCCGGGCAUAAAAGAAAGGUUCACUCUAGACUCAUAAGUACUGGUUAGAAAGAAGCUAGUCUGGUAGUUCUAAUGUCUGAAUCCGGACUUGGUAAUAACCUUAGGAUAAGUUGCUCUGUCACAUUCCUCUUAUUUAUAGGUGAAAACACAGGGGCAAGCAACGUAGCUAGUGACAAAAGCCAGCAGUAGUGAGUGACUUCAGUUUCUCUUUCUUUACCAAGCCUCUAUACCGUGUGUUACUUAUCGUCUGACUUUUAGUAAGAGACCAGUUCUAGUUCUAAAGUCAACUUAUUCAUGCCCUGUUCGAGAGGGUGAGCAAGGUUUAGUUCCAGACUUAAAGGCGCUAAGCUCGAAAGAGGUUAUUCAUUUGAUUGUUUUUCUCAGAUCUUCCCAUUUUAUUCAUCCCAUUGGAUUGGAUUCUGAAGUAAACUAACAACUCCUCUGUAAACUCACUACUCCUAUGUAAACUAAGUCAGUAAACCAGAUCAGUGCAGGAACCACAAAGUAAGUAAACUAAGGAAGUAAACCACCCGACCUCUGUUAUUGAUUAGUCACAAGUGCUUCUAUACCUAUGGCUCCGAUACCUAAGUCAACUAAUGGAAUUCCCUUCUUCUUUCUUGCUCUAGGGUACGGGUGGCUUGGCUCGAUAACAAGUAUAAGCAGUGAGUUGAGUAGUUAAUGCCUUAGUAGUAGUGGGUAGUUAAUGCCUUAGUAGUAGCGGAUUGGCUAGUAGUGUCUUGGCUGAGUUUAUUAUUAUAGUUGUGUUUGAGGCCUUGGCUCUCCGAGUUACUUGUCUAGUAGUUGUUUGGCCUCUGAUAUUACUCUAUUCCUUUUCAAUACCCGAGUUAGAAGAGAUGGAGGCAAGAAAAGAAGAAUGUACUGGUAAACAUCUGGACUUACUACUUGCUUGAAUCCUUAGAGCUGUGGUUUGGUUAGUUACCGAGAAUACAUAACUUGAAGGUAAGAAAAAGAAGAAUGAGCUCUGUAUCAAAGAAAGGAAACUCCAUUAAGGUAUUCUGACUUAAGCCAAAAGUCACUACUACAAAUACUAAGAAAGGAAGGAACUAUUAUGUGGAGGAAGGAACAAGCAGAGCGUGACAAGCAACAGUAUCAGGAGAAGAUUCAGUUCGGGAAUAAGAUGGAUCUGGAGCAAUAGAUGGGUGUUAGGUUUAGUUAUAUCUAUAUUGGGGUGGGAGGCAAUACUCUUCCCAUACUGUUUCAUCCCCUGGAAUUGAACGUACUUUGUCAGGGCAAGAAGGCAGACUCAGCAGACUACUGAAGGAGCAGUGCGAUUAGAGUCUCGGGUACCUAUACAAGAGCAGAGGUCGAGUCAACCACUACAGGGGAAAGCCAAUUAGUUCCACAUAAAGAAAGGAGAACGGCCAACUAGUAGUAGUCUAGACUUACCGCAAUUUGUACAUUAAUUAAUAAGCCUAGUAACUGACUUCGGGCUUACUCCUUCACUACUGAGUUCCAUUCUUCCUUUCUAGUUUCGAGCACUAGGUUCUAGAUACGUUGGUUGUCUCUUUUUCCUAUAGGUGUUUUUCAAGUGUUCAUAUCCCAACUAAGUAGCAGCUUAAUAGCGUUAGUGAGCUCAGGCAUAGAAACAAGUGGAUACCCCGCUCCUUUCCUUCUCUUUCAACUUUAACUACAUAUUCUCUUUCGUCGCUAACAACAAUAAGAGGAACAACAGGACAUUCUUUUCUCUAAGACAAAACAAGAACACUACUUGAAGUUCAUCAUUGAAUUUCAUAUCUAUCUUAUCGAGCACAAGGUAUAGAAGAAGACUGUAAAGCUUAUCGAGCACAAGGUAUAGAAGAAGACUGUAAAGACACAACUUACCUACCCUUCUUUGGAAUCUGAUCUAUGACUUGCCCCAACACCAACAAGCGCCACUGACCUAACAGCUUUCCUUGCCGACCUCCUCUUUCAGUUCAGAAAAUCCGAUUGAUUGAAGAUUCCCUCUUGUAUACUAACAACGAGCUUCUUUCCCUUGAGACUAAACCUGCGCUGGAGAAGGGGAAGAGCCAAGCUACUCUAAAUCUGGUGUUACAAAAGAAGCAAGGGAACCCGCAUAAAGCCUAAAAGAAUGCAAUUGAAAGCGAAUUUCCGAGUUUCCAUCAUUUCCACUAAGAAACUUGCCAACGAAUGCAUUUCUGCCUAUAAUCUUUAUGGCCUAUAAACUCUCAUAUCUUCACCUCUGAUUCUCUAACUACUGUUCCACUCUGCAACUCUUGUAUGAAACCUAAUCUUCCACUCAGGCAUUCCUACAAAUAAUCAUAAGGGAUCAACUAACCACGCUAAAACAUCUUCUGAACCCCCACCUUGCUCGUCUCGAGUCACUGUCCCUCUUUCAGAGCCUCGUCUAUUAUUAGAAAGAGCAAACACACUUCCUUCUCUGGGGACUAGAAUUCCAGUAUGGAAGGUGGCAUGGGUAGAUUCGAUUCGAGGGUUGGGCUUACGGAUAGAAGCUAGGGUAUCAUGCAAGUGGUUAAGAACGGAAAGUCGAGAGAGGAGAGGUCGACAAAAGAACCAGCAAGGGAACCAGUAUCUGGCCGGAAGUAUCCUUCUGUUCUCAAGUAAUCAUGGAGAUUGGUUAGUUACCCGAUUCUAUCAUGCCUAGGUCGAGAACAAGACUGAUUCCGUUACGGAUCUAUCUUCUGCUGGAACUCAACUUUACUGAGCUACGGGCUACAAGAGCAAUCCAAUCACCUAUUUCUAGAACAAGGUAAGGAGGCUACGCACUGAACCAACUCACUACUCGGUCGGUUAAGGCUUGAAUACCAGAUUGAGAUAGUUUUAGGCGAGGUGGGCCAAGGAAAACAACCAAGCGACUAUACAAGUCACUACUACAGUGAGUUAUUCGCAAGUACAGCAUCAAAGAAAGUCACUUGAAGUAUGGAAUGCAUCACUCAAUGAGUCAGUAUAUGAAUGAUGCAUCACUCAAUGAGUCAGUAUAUGAAUGACAUUUGUAAGCUCUCUAUGUAGCUGCUUGUUAUCAACAAUUUCGUUCUCCUUUUUGGUUUUGGUGGUGGUUCGAGUUUGCGCUGGUGGGGGAAGCGGGGAUAGUCAUAUUCUAUGGGGAAGCAGGGAUAGUCAUCUUCUAUUGUUGAUUAGAUCUUUCUGAUUAUUGGUUUACUACUAUUUAUUUCCAUGAAAAUGGUAGGACGUCAUAUAGCACCACAGGCGAGAAACCUAGUUGAUCCAUAUAGCCUGCCUUUAAGGGGUUCCGUUCAAGGAGUUACUUAGUUGAGCUCGGGUUUUGAGUGAACAGUCGCUUUCCUAAUAAAUGAAAUACAUUCUCAGAAUACUAUUCGGUAGCCGAGUUGGUCUGACUCAGCAAAUGUACAAAGAAAGCGGGCAUCUCCACGAUAUACUAAGCCUGCGUGAUCUCUCAUCCCUCCGACCCACCUAUGCUUAUAUUAUUCCCUUCACUGGUUUAUCGACGAGUCUACUGGCAUCUCGAGCUGUAGUAUAUGUCACUGAAAAGAUAUGCCACUAGACCAGGUGCUCUUGAGAAAGGCAACGAACCUUAUAACGGGGGGUUUCAAUUGAUUCUUAUGAGGGGGAUGCAUCUAAAUACGCGUAUGGAACCACAAUCUCUGCCGCUAGCUUUGCACUCGUAGGAUAAGCAGGUCCCUUGGUGGAACCGAGCGAAGUGCGGAAGCUAGAGCUAAGGCAAGGUACGAAGCUACCAGCAAUUAAGCUGCUUUGGUAGUACUCGACAGAAAGGAUAGGGCUUUGCUGCUGCUGUCCAACAAGUUUCAGAGUUUGCUAAAAAAGACAAGUAAGGAGCGAGUCAGGUCUACUCCACGUAGCCAAGUCUUGUCAAAGCCAAAAAGGCUCUUGCCAAACUAAAACCAGUUCCUAAAGGACAGGAAUAGCUAAUCCGCAAGCUAGAAAGAAACAUAGAUGAGAUUACACCCCUAUCAGUGCAACGGCCGCUUUCUCCCCAACUAAAGCCUAAAAGAGGACAGGGCAUAAGCACUCUUAUACCUGGCCUUAGACUGCUACGGUUAGCUCUUGACCCAGGACUGGCUAUCUCUCAAUCAAUGUAUUCACGCAUCUCGAAAGAGUGAAAAGCGAAUUCCCUACCAGAGCGGAAAUAGCCGGGCUUCUUCAAAGGGAAUGCUCACUCUCCGGGUAAGGCAAGGCUAACGUUAGAAAAGUUGUUCUAUUCCUCAGUCUGGUUUGCGGAAUAAGUAAGCAUGAAGCUUGCCUGAGAAAAGCCGUAGAAAGAAAAGAAGGGCGGAAGCUACGAGUGAACCAGAUCGACCUGAGAGGGAGUCCCAGGAAACGGUAUACGAAAGAAGGUCUACUUUACGGGGAUGGAGUGUGCAGACUUCGGUUGAAGCGUCCAGACUCCGUUAGUGAAAAGAAUAUAGGACUAAGAUAAGAAGAUCUGUUUCUCUUAAUCAGAGCGCAUUCGUCUCGUCUAUCGGUCCUUAGUCUUAGAGAGAAAUUGGUGGUGGCCACUACGUCAAGAGAAAAUCUGCUCUUUCGAUUCUAUUUUCCUCGAUGAGUUGAAGGGACUCCGAAGCUUCGACCGUACCCUCUUUCUUUAGUAGCGAGUUUCACUUGAAAGAUAUCAUUGAUUUUCACCAAGAGAGAAAGUAGAAGCGCUAACUCACUAGACGAACAAUCGACCCUAGGGAUCGACCCGAUUCCGCCUGCGAACAUCACUUCCUAUAGUUUAAGGUAAUGUUGGGGUCUGCCGCAUCUGAUUCCCCAGAAACGAGAAACCUUCACAUCAAUGAAGGAAUGCAAGUCCUGUUUUCAGCAAUAAGUAGCUCUCAAUCAGGCGUUCAAACAGGAUUAAGGGAAGAGAAACAAGAUUAUCCGCGUUAACAGGAGUUGUUGAAUGAUUAGUUUACUCAACAGGCUAAAGGGAAAGGAAAGUAGAAAGCGUAGAAAGAAGCUCGGCUCGGGCUCGGAUCGUGUAGUAUAGAAAUGGGGUAAUUAGAGCAUCACAGUGCAGAAAUAGAUGUUUGAGUUGACCACUUCAUAUUUGUCAGGGAAAGAUUCCCGUCCGGGUUUCGGCUAAGGUGUGAGGCGCUAACUGAGUUAAUAGGUAUAGGUGUAUUCCUUCAAGGAGUUAAUAGGUAUAGGCUUUCAGCACCUUCAAUAUAUAGCUUCAGUUCAAUCUCAUUCCGCACGUAAGGAAGUUGCCAUAUUCCAUUCUUCACUGAAAAGAGGUAAGUCAACUUCAGAUUGAACUCCUCUCUUGAACUCCUAAGAUACGACUUUCUUUCUUGACCUAGUUAAGUACUACUUGCUUUCUUGCCCUAGUAGUAGCGCUAUGUGUUCGGGAGAAAGAGUUCAAAGAUACUGAGUUUUCAGCCUUAAUGAGUAGGGGAGCCCUGUCUACCAAACUUUCAUUCUCUCUUAUAUCAGAUUCAAGAUGAAACAAGGGAUUUUCAUUAGAUACAAGGGAGCAGGAAGGUAUACACGCGUGGUAUCUCUUCCCCUAAGGAGAAUCUGGAUUUUGACUAUUCUGUAUUCUGACUUUGUAGUGGAAUUCUUUCAUAUACGAUUUCAUCUCUAGAUACUGCAGACAGAUUAGUAGUGACUUUGCUCUGGUAUUCUUACUUAAGAGAACUACUUUCAACUACUAUACAAGCAACUUCAACUAGAAAGGAUUAUUCUCUCGGCUAGGCUUCGGCGGAUGACUUAACUGCUUCCCUUGCCUAGGUACUAGAAAUAGGCGCAAUAGGAAAUAGCAAGUAGGUAGUGGCUUUUCAAACGGAUAUUCCCGGGGCAGGAGCGGUUCGUUCUAGUUUGUAAGCCUACAGUAAGUGCUCUAUCGGUCCGGAUCGAUCAGCUCGCUUUCAAGACAAGAGUGAGUGGAAUUCUCUCCUUUCUAUAUUCCUGUCUAACCUAUCUUCAGUAAGACAAAUAGGGAAGACAUCACAUAACAUAGAGUCCAUCGCUUCCACCCUGGUGGUCUAACUCACCGCUAUGGUAAGCCUUAGGUAAGGAAUAACUUAUCCGGGUUGUCUACUCGUCAGGAAGUGGAACUACUAAUUAAUGGGAAGCUAUUGAGUCACCCUAGAAGCAAGAGNNNNNNNNNNNNNNNNNNNNNNNNNNNNNNNNNNNNNNNNNNNNNNNNNNNNNNNNNNNNNNNNNNNNNNNNNNNNNNNNNNNNNNNNNNNNNNNNNNNNNNNNNNNNNNNNNNNNNNNNNNNNNNNNNNNNNNNNNNNNNNNNNNNNNNNNNNNNNNNNNNNNNNNNNNNNNNNNNNNNNNNNNNNNNNNNNNNNNNNNNNNNNNNNNNNNNNNNNNNNNNNNNNNNNNNNNNNNNNNNNNNNNNNNNNNNNNNNNNNNNNNNNNNNNNNNNNNNNNNNNNNNNNNNNNNNNNNNNNNNNNNNNNNNNNNNNNNNNNNNNNNNNNNNNNNNNNNNNNNNNNNNNNNNNNNNNNNNNNNNNNNNNNNNNNNNNNNNNNNNNNNNNNNNNNNNNNNNNNNNNNNNNNNNNNNNNNNNNNNNNNNNNNNNNNNNNNNNNNNNNNNNNNNNNNNNNNNNNNNNNNNNNNNNNNNNNNNNNNNNNNNNNNNNNNNNNNNNNNNNNNNNNNNNNNNNNNNNNNNNNNNNNNNNNNNNNNNNNNNNNNNNNNNNNNNNNNNNNNNNNNNNNNNNNNNNNNNNNNNNNNNNNNNNNNNNNNNNNNNNNNNNNNNNNNNNNNNNNNNNNNNNNNNNNNNNNNNNNNNNNNNNNNNNNNNNNNNNNNNNNNNNNNNNNNNNNNNNNNNNNNNNNNNNNNNNNNNNNNNNNNNNNNNNNNNNNNNNNNNNNNNNNNNNNNNNNNNNNNNNNNNNNNNNNNNNNNNNNNNNNNNNNNNNNNNNNNNNNNNNNNNNNNNNNNNNNNNNNNNNNNNNNNNNNNNNNNNNNNNNNNNNNNNNNNNNNNNNNNNNNNNNNNNNNNNNNNNNNNNNNNNNNNNNNNNNNNNNNNNNNNNNNNNNNNNNNNNNNNNNNNNNNNNNNNNNNNNNNNNNNNNNNNNNNNNNNNNNNNNNNNNNNNNNNNNNNNNNNNNNNNNNNNNNNNNNNNNNNNNNNNNNNNNNNNNNNNNNNNNNNNNNNNNNNNNNNNNNNNNNNNNNNNNNNNNNNNNNNNNNNNNNNNNNNNNNNNNNNNNNNNNNNNNNNNNNNNNNNNNNNNNNNNNNNNNNNNNNNNNNNNNNNNNNNNNNNNNNNNNNNNNNNNNNNNNNNNNNNNNNNNNNNNNNNNNNNNNNNNNNNNNNNNNNNNNNNNNNNNNNNNNNNNNNNNNNNNNNNNNNNNNNNNNNNNNNNNNNNNNNNNNNNNNNNNNNNNNNNNNNNNNNNNNNNNNNNNNNNNNNNNNNNNNNNNNNNNNNNNNNNNNNNNNNNNNNNNNNNNNNNNNNNNNNNNNNNNNNNNNNNNNNNNNNNNNNNNNNNNNNNNNNNNNNNNNNNNNNNNNNNNNNNNNUGCGCGUCCCAAAGCUUUAAUAGAGAUGCAAGUACUGUGCCUAUGACCUAAUCCUUAUUACUUCUAUUCUUCCUCAAUAAGGAAAGAAAACUCCCUUUCUUUCUCUAUUCCCCCUCGGAUAUAACUUGAAACUAUCCUUGUCUCGUGAUCUACUCAAUCAAUGAUCUUGAAACACUGCGAAUUCUUUCCUUUAUGGCAUGCCAAAGCAAGGUAAGCGAUCUAUUCUAUCAAUUGUAUUUCCAAAGAAUGCCAAAGCAAGGUAAGCGAUCUAAUCUAUCAAUUAGCCUACGGAACCAAAGCUGCAUCCAUGCCCCCGACCUUGGAUCUUGGAAAAUGUAGGUAUACUCACUGAAGCAAGCACUAGUGAAGGAAAGACGUACAGCGAAUCUGGAACAUCGGGAUCUUGUUCACUCUGACUACGUAACCUGUACUUUGCCUAUUACCUCAUAUCCUAAGCUAAGGCAAAGAGCGGAUUCUCCGACAUUGAUCUGACUGUUGACUCUAUGCUUUUUCCUAAGACAGUGGAUUAUCCAUCUAAGACAUCCUUUUCUAGGCCACGCAUCAGACUAGGAAUUCCAAAGCUCCGAGUUAGCUGCCCGACAGAUAAUAUCAUACCGGCCACUCCCUAUUUCUCUUUCUUAUAAUAUCAUACCGGCCACUCCCUCUUUAUCUUUCUUUAAGGCAAAGUUUCAUUGACGAGCGGAUCUUGGACUUGCAAUCAUUGAGUUAAGAUUCCGAGCUGCCCCUGAAUUCAUCCAAUUCUUUCCUGGGAAGGGCUAACAUCCGCCAAUUCCAUGACUUUACUUACUUCUGAUUUGGAAUGAAUCAUCCAAUGAAUAUCCAUCCUUCAAGGCUUUCUAAGGGCUAACGGAACUUGCUUUCUACUGGGAUUCUUUCUUUUAUCAAGGUUUUCCUGAAAGCACUUACUCAAUGCUAACCUCUAUAACCAAAGAAAAGAGCGGAUCUCUGCUUACGAAUGCCAAAGCUCUCUAUCCCCGGUACCAUCCUUCUUGAUAUUUCCCAUUGGCUUUACCUUAUUUACAGGUCGACUUCAUGGCAGCAAGAAAAGGCGAUCUUAUCCUAUACUCUGGUGAUCUCUUUACUACCGAGGCAGGCAAACUCCCAUCGUGUCCCAGAUCCAAUUCUUUAUCUCUAAAAAGGGAAGCCUACUCAUCCAUUAGCUCUUCUCUACGAUCGGUGCGGUUUGUUUGACGAAGCGUCUAAGUUAACUAGCCUUGAUCAAUGUUGAUGCUGACUAAAGCUGACCUCUUCUCUUAUACACUGAUAGCAUUCUUUCCCACACUUAAUACCUCCUUUUCCUUAUUCUUUAGGUAAGGCUUAUAGAGGGCCAGGCAUAGUGGGAGCAUCCUGUCGACAAGAUAUUUGGCUUGACCAAUCCGUGCCCUCCAAGUCGAAUGACGUUUUCACCGAAAUCACUUCUUGCGCUAUAAAUGCCUUUCCCAUUUUAUGACCAGAUAUUGUUUCUUUAUAUUUCCUUUGAAAAGUGGUCUCGGGACUUUUUCUCAAUAGGAGGUUAUCAUUGAAUAUAAGACAGAGUCAUUCUGGCAAUCAAAUCUUCCUUCCGGGUGUAAGGCGUAAGCCCCAGAAAUAUGGUGCAAAAAUAGGGUGCGGAUCGAAUCACUAUGCCUAUCUUAGUAGUCUUUCUUAUUGGAGGACUCCUAUUCCUCUGAUAUUGAUAAGAAGCAUCCAGCAGCUCGUUUAGAAUUCGAUUCAAAGUCAAGUCUCACCUUCACCUUUAUGGGUUGUUGUCGAAGAAAGUUUUCAAUACUAGCUCUUUCUUGAUUUCUCCGAAAGGUAUCUUUUGAUAAAUAGAGAUAGACGCCUAAGUAAUAAGAACGGAAUACGAAACUUCCCCAUUAUCCAUACUAUAGAGCUAGGAGGAAGGCUAUGAAGGAAUUCCUUAUACGAAUUAGGAUUGUACCCAACCAAAAGAACCCUUCGGGCGGCAGAGGAAAAAGAAAGGAGAAACGAAACCCCUGUGACCGGUUGGCUGUGUGCGCCACGGAGAAGAGCCAUACCCUGAGGAAGCUUACCCAACUCAGCGCGCCAAGCUCGAAAGUCACUAAGAGACAAGUCGACAACUAGGUGAAUUCUGUUACUACUGAGUAAGCCUACAGAUUGCCCGAACUGAGUUACUACUUAGGAGUAAGCCCACUGAUGAGAGAUAGAACUUCUACUUAUGAGUAAGCCCGAACUCAUACUUAUGAGAGAUAGAACUCACUGAUACAUUAUUAUAGAAUGUCGUUGCUUGUUAGCCCUCUUGUUAAUACUGAGAUGAUUUCCCGCCUUCCCCUUUACUUGACUUUAAGUAAGCUGUGUUUUUCAUAAAUUCUAUCUAAUGGGAAGAGACAUGUAUGAUUAUUGUUCUGUUAUUUACUAGUGGAGUUAUUUUCUUUGAUUAGUUAUCGAAUAUCAGAGUGAUUUCCAUAGUAUUGGGUGCGGGUCAAAAGGAUCUUAUAGAAACUGUGCCUAAAUUCGAGCCAAGCGUAUACUAAUGCUAAAGGGCCGCUAUGAAUAAUGACAAAGUAGUGCUCUUCAUUCUGAUCAAUUCUGAAAGUAGGUGCUCUUAAUUCUCUUAAAGUAGUGCUCUUCAUUCAGAAAUUCUCCAUUCUGGAAUUAUUACUUGUGCAGGUAAAGUGUCUUUCUCUCUGUGCUAAGGUUAGCUUGUCGGGUUGGGCAAGAAGGAAAGGAACACGUAUACGGAGACUUAAUUCCAUACCUGAGUCGAGGUAGAUGAGAAAGCUGCUCCUUAGUGAAUAUAAGAAUCAAACCGGGGAUAGGAUCCUUCAAGUUGUAGUCCAGGCCCUACCUAUACAGGUCAAACAAGUAGGUGAUUCUGAAGCGGGGGAAUCGAAGUUGUAUCAGAAGCUGGAAGUAGAGAAUUGUUGACAGUUGCCAGAGAUAUAGGAGCCUUAGAAGGGACUUCAGAAUAAGGGAGCGGGUCUAAAGUCUCAGUAGUUCAAAUGAUUAUUAUAAGAUUGAAUUGACAAGUCAAAAGAUACUAGCAUAAGUUCAAGGGCCAAGCAACGGCAGGAUCUGAAGCAGUUACGUAUCAGUGCAAGCCAGGUCUGAAGCAGUUACGUAUCAGUGCAAGCCAGAGUCGAGGUAGAGUAGAAAGAGAGCAGUAGUGCUAGGGAAGGAAAUCAAUAAAGUCUAGUGAGUUUGAGUUCAAAGAGCCAGAGUAGAGCCAGAAAACCGCAUCUUCUUCCCUAAGUAAGCAAAAGGGAAGCAGUUCAGUAAGAAGGAGAGCCCAGUGCCAGUAAUAGUUCUAGGUCUAGUUUCACCUAUAAUAGCAUCCGUUUCCGUUCAAAGAUCUUAAGCUGUGCGGUAUCAAGGUGCAGCAUCUCUUUACGGUGGUUGUGUGAAAGCAUCUCAUUCCUCUGUUGAUGAAGCAGAAGCAUUCAAAUAAUGGAUUUCAUCUUUGUCUCCGGGUGGGGGUGGCUUUGGAGUUCUGUUAGCGAACGACUUUCCUUUCCAGGAAUUUCAACUCCCGUUAGCACAACGUCUUGUAUUGUUAUAGUUUAAGAACAGAUUGCAGCUUCCUUUAGCCUCGCAAAUACGGAUUCCACUCAGGAUUCCACAAUCCCUCUAUCUUCUUCACCAGAGUAUAGGCUUGCUUUAAUUGUCAAUAGCUUGUGAUUCGGAGUUGUCGACCAAGGAAUAGAGUAUGGAAGUGGAACACAGUCGAGUCUGCUCUCCAGGCUAUCUAAGACCUUUUCCGCCCAGAAGUUGGGUAAGACCUUUUCUGUAUGACCAAAGGAAUUAGGGCCUAUGUAGGAAGACCCUCCCCGCAAGAAAUCGGUACUUUCGAGAAGUUAGUCAAAGAGAAUGCCGACGCUGGAACUGUGGAGGCGACUCCUAUCCGGCGUAUUAGUGGUCGAAUUACUCUAUCUAUACAAGUCCGUUUUCAGAGACAGACUGACAAUGGCCUUCCUUUCUCUGCAUGAAAUAAAGCCUUUACAUACAAGGAAAGUUGUGUUCUAAUCUAUUGAGAACUCGGCAGCAAGGAAAUAUCUAUUGAUGACUGGGGGAGCAAGGAAAUCGAUUUACUGGGCAGCAAGGAAGGAGUUAGGUUACAAUGAACGAACUGCUUAUUAGAGAAAUAUCUCGACGGAGGCUCUUGCUUUGGUCUGUCUUUAGGGGAUUGUUCUUCACAGAGUUGGAUUCCAUUUCCUGAUAAAGAGAGAAAAGGAAAAACCUUCACGUAGCGCGGAUAUACUUGACAGAGUCGAAAGAGAAGGAAAGAUGUCAGGUUGGUUCAUUUUGUUCGGAAGAAACACUCCAGCUUGCUCAUUGGAAAUAGCCCGUAGCUUGCCCGUUGCUUGACAGCUUGCCGGUUCAGAAUGUUAUUAAUAAAGCAAUUGAACUUGCACCAAGUAUAUAAGUUGGUAAGAUUACCGAUGUUUCUAUACAAGACGGUAGACUUUAUAUAAGAGAUAUUGUUUUGAAAUAAGCAAGUUAGGAUCCGAAGUCGGUGUUAUAGAAUUAGAUACAAGAGCUUAAGCCUUAGCGCGGGUUGUUUUCAUUGAUCCGAUCUUGUUUCAUUGUUGUUAACAAAGGAAUCAUAUUUGUAUGCCCCGGUAUGGUAGGCUUAACUACUCAGUCACUAGAUCGUACCUAACCUUUAUUCUUCUUAUCCUGUAUGCACUGAAUGAUACCUCUGUUCGAAAGUCAAUAAGCAAUUUCAGAAUCGAAGAAGGAAGUCAAAGAAUGUAGGGCAAUAGCUAGAGGGUAGUCGGGGAAGCUAAGUCAGAAUAUAAGUCAGCAGUCAGGGAAUGAAAGCCAGAGUUGAGGUCCGGAAAGGCAGCCUAAUAGUAAGUAAAGAGCACGAAGCCAGUAAGGGACGCCCAAGAUACAGCAAAGUCAAGGCUAAAAGAGAGGAAUGCCAGUUUGUCUGUUAUUAUAAGAGAAUAUAUCUAAUGCAAAUGACUAUUAUAAGAGAAUAGAUAAAUGACUAUUAUAAUAUCAUAUAUAAAUGACAAAACCAACUCUAAUACAUGCGGAAGGAAUACUCAAUUGAAUCAUGAAAUAAACAAGUCAGAAUGCCGUAUAGGGUGGGCAAUAAAGUGACCUCACUGCUAAAUGAUCUUUCUUCUUAAGGUAAGCGCUUUCAACUCUCGCUUUUGUUAGCUUUGGAAGCUGAAGCCACAAACAAAUACUUCUCAUCUCUCCAGUACCGAGUCAACUCAUUCAUUUGCAUUUCAUCUUUCGUAUCGAGCACCUACACCUAGUAAAGAAAUCCGUAAAUAACACUAUCCCUUUUGUCGAACUUAACUUCACUUUCGGACCUGCUGACUUCUGCCUUUAUUCUUUCUUUCCCGCACCCCCGCCCGAACUAGGCUACGAACAAGAGCAUAGGUCGACUCAAACUCACUAACUAUGGGACUUAUUCUUAUCCUUAAUCCGCGUGAACUCUACUUGCAUAACCGACUCUACUUUCUGAUCCCGAUCAAGUAUAUGAUCUCGGCGCUACUGAUUCUCUUGACUUUCUCCACGCCAAUACCUAUGCUUGCAGCUGAAACUCUCACUGUUGAUGAACCCUCUUCUGAUCCCCUGAUCCCCUUAGCAAGCACAGCGUAUUCUCUUUCAACUUCCAAUCAAACUACUAGCUAAUUGAACUAGCACCGAUAAGACCUGAACCCAUAUACUACUAUGGAUAAGAAGAGUCCCACUCCUAACUCGACUCGGAAUGGAACUCAGAAGUAAGACCCACCCACGCAUAUAAGAAUUAGCGAUAUCGGAAUUAGGCAGUGCCCCUAACUAUUAUAUUAAUCAGAAUUGACACCACUAAUGGAAAUACCUUAACUCGGAACUCAGACUCGAACACUACCCCCAACGACUUAAACUACUCAUAGAAAGGCUGAAACAACACCUAAUAGAAUGGAACGACUUACUUGCCAACCCUCCAACCUCUGAAUCUUCAUAGUAGUUCUAAUACUCUCUAUUAAAGUAACCUAACUCCUUCUAUAUGAAAUUAAAGUAAAGUGACUUAACUCCUUUCUUUUCAUUCCAUCUACAAAUUCUAUAAAUUGAUGAAAACCACUUCUGACUGAACUCCGCUCGCCUCUUUCUUUCCCUGGAUGUUCUAUUCAAUGUAAGCUAUAUUCAUUGGCCCAUCCUCAAGUCAAUGGCCACUCCUAUCUUUCCUCCUUGUUGAGCUGAAUAUCAAGUUUCAAGGUGUUGUCAGGUAAGAUGUUAGUUAUACAGAGAAUCCAAUACAAACACUUAAUACAGAGAAUCCAACACUUAAACACGGAUUACAUUAAGUCCAACACUCACACACAUAAUAGAUAAUACUACUUUCUUUUGGAAAUGAGAAAGAAAGAGCGUAAAACAAAAUAUGUCUUUCGGAAUACAUAUGUGCUAAUGACAAAGAGCGGGGUAAGCCCUUCGGUGUGCUAAUGAUAAAGAGCGGGGUAAAUAUGACUUAGGAAUACAUAUGUGCUAAUGACAAAAGAAAAGAGCCACGUCAAUCAAUCCGCCAAAAACGGAGAGAGAGAGAGAUUCAGAAUCAGAAAUGGAUAAUAGGCUUAUAGAAACUCCUAAGGAGAGUUAUAGCCACAAUCCGUCUAUACCUUAUGCCAGUAAAGACAAUCGAACUCGCCUUCCUCCUUAUACGCUAUUCUUCUUUCACUUUGCUCUGCUCAAUCCAAUCUUAUGGAGGCAGAGACCACUGUGUUCGCUUGAAUCGAGCUAUAGAAGCUCUGUAACACUCUCUUUUUCACUAUGAAGAAAACAAACAAACACCUCUAAUCCUUUUCUUUUGUCCGAAGAAUCAGUAUUCAAUCCCCAGAGCAGUUGAGAAAGAAAGAGUAGUUGGUUUUCCCUGUAUUGAUAGCCCCGAGUCAGCAUUUAUGAGCUUAUCGGGUGGACACAACUAUUUGUUUUUUGAUAGUGAAGUCUGCUUUGUAGACCUUCUGCAAUACAGUAUAGCCUUUUCUUUGCCUUGUUCUCCGGGUCGGCUUGAAAUCCUUCUCAACGAUAGAUUCUUUUUUGUCACUGCCAUAAUACCCCUUCCUUGUUAUUGAGUUUGGUAACUUAUAUUCCCAUAAUACCCAUAUUUGUUAUUUAUUAGUAAAUCAUCAUCCCCUUAUUUAUUAAUAGCUAUCCGCCCGAUUCAAUAGAGAGCUGGUCCUUCAAUAAUCAGCACAAACUAGCCCCCAACAUUGAGCUAUCCCCACCGAAAGACAGACAGACCCAACAUUGAUGAUUGACCCAACAUUGAGCUAUCCCUACCGAAAGAAAAGGAAAGGGAUAGAAUAGGUUUUGUUACCAACUGGCCAUGAACUCGGCCAAGGGUAAAGAUGAUUCAGAAUAAAUGCAAUUGAACAGCGUUGUUUGUCCCGUUGCUUGUUUCUUUUAUUGUGCAAAUAGAAGAAGAAACCCGAUCCCGCCCAUCGUUGUCAUUGAUUACCAUUAACUGUACCUGACUAAAAGCUGUAACUACACGGGGAGAUUGCCUAUGCCUCUUUCUCGUUGGCUGUAGUUCAUCUCUGAUAGAAUAAGAGGGUAAGUGAGCGCUUUCAGUAUCAAGUUAGGGCGUUGUCAAUCAGUGUCAAAGUAUAUAGAAUCAGAGUCUAAAGUCAGCACUAAAGUCAGCGGAACUGGUCCAGUAGAAAGGUUCUGCUCCGCUCUCCCGUAAGCGCUUAAUAGAUGUGGCUUCUUCCUGCUCCGGAUCUAGUUUCUUAACGUCUUCGUUCUUAUCCUUAUUCAUAUCCUGCUCCACCUGGCUCUAAAUCCAAUAAUGGGAGCCUUAACUAUGUAGUUUGAGUUUGUUUCUUUCCUCUUCUAUUGCUUGUUGAGUUGCUUCUUGAAGAAUCAUAUAGCUUUUCAUUAUUAAGAUAAAACGAGUAACCAGACUGCUUACAUAAAACAUAUAUUACUCCUGGCACAAACUCACAAACGCUUGUUGGGCAAAAUCAUGGAAUUGAAGAUGACCCGCUUUUAUAUGAUACGAGCAUGAAAUAAGUGUGUGGCGCCCUUGAGACUUUACCUAAGCUGUUGAGAAAAGAGCUUAUAGAUAAGAAAGUAGACUUGAAGUUCCGCUUGCUACUGACUUGAGACUUAAGCGGUGGGUAUUCAUUCUUAAAGAGAUGAUCUUAUGCUUCAGAUCCAGCUCCAACUGCAACAACUAAUUCCACAAGAGGAGCCUCUUUUCAACGUUAUACGAGAUAAUACUUUACUUGCGAAUAACUCACUACCGAGCACGUAAAGCUUCUGAUCUUUCAACUCUUUCAAAAAGAGAAAGAUACUCAUCGCCUUAACCAACAGAGAAAACAGUACUUUCUUUUGGAACUGGACAUUCUCAUUCAGCUGCUGACUUUCGCAUACCUUUUUCCGACCUAGGCUUGAAGGGGAAAGGAACGAAAACAGGACAUCCUUCUUCCACAUAUGGAGUAAAAACACUGACUGCUAAGCUUCCUCUCUUUUAGCGUGUGAAAACUCCUAACUCGAAACACUCCCAUAAGUUGUUCCCUGAAACCACAAAGCUCACGUUAGCCCUUACUUAUUGAGUUUACUUAAACCACAUUGCUUCUUUUAAGAACUCUGCUAGGGCAGCUUCCUGCUAUACUCUCGUACCUCAUCAUUGCCUAAAGCUUUCACAAUGGAAAUUCAUCCAUGUGGUAUAGAAGUCAAGUAAACAAACACUGCACUUACUCUAAAGGAAGUAACUAAACAUAUUACAGCAGCUGGCUCUAAUCAAAUGCGCUGUUCCAACAAAUUCACUGAUGACUAUACAAAGCUUGUUCGUUCCCCGGAAAGUCACUUAUAACCUCAUAGCCUGUUUAAACCUCAUUGCUUACUGCAGGCUCUGGCUCUACCUGCUUACAGCUGACAAAACAAACUAGUUCCUUUUUUCUCCUGCCUAGAAGCUAUCUGAAUGGAAUAUCGGCGUGGGGUUCAGCGAAAUCAAUGAUUCAAUCAGGUUCAGCGAAAUCCAUGGUUCAAUAAAGAUGGAUGCCUGCCACCUAUUCUAUUAAUGAAGUCUCUGGUCUGCUCGCCGGUAAAGAAUCGAGGUCCCUAUUUUGUAAGAAAGAGAAAACUCUGCUGCCUAACCGAAACCUAUACUGACUAUAGUGAUAGUACUCUUUUAUCUUGCCUAAAGCUUGUAUACUUGAUUUACUUAACUCAAUAAGCAACAUUAUACAAAGCUUGUUUGUUCUGUUGCGCUUACGCGAGUUCUUUGCCCUUCUUUGUUGAAACACCGAAGCUAACGCACCCCACUUCUGAAUCGAAUAUAAGUCAAAAACCCCGCUGCUACACUUACUUAUUGAAUGGAAUGGAAUCUCCAUAGCAUCAUAUAGAAUAGUUUAACCUAACCUGGAAACAAGAAAUAGCGUUAGUGCGAAGAGAAGAAUAGAGCAUUACAAAUAGAGAAGCCCAGCAAAAGACUCCUGACUGCUUAUUAGAAAGAAUAGAAUUGAUAUGGAGGCACCUAAUAUAAGAGACUAGAGCAAUAGUAACUACACUCCGAAUGAGGCACCCAAUAUAAUAGACUAAAGCAAUAGUAACUGAACUCCGAACUCUGGUAACGAAUAUCAUAGGCGCCACUCCCAAACGCGCAACAACAACAAGCUUACUCACUUGUGCUUACGCUUACUUACUUGUGCUAGCGGUUACUCUCAGGGGCAUGUUAUGUUGAGUUCGAGCAAGGAUGUCCUUUAUUAUUGAGUAAUCUCUAACCAACUAAGAGAAAGAAGGUUCACCCAAGAAAGUCAAGAAAGUGGAUUUCCUAUUCCUCUGCCUUUGAAUUUGUAUAUUAGGGCGGUAAUAGUAAGCUGGCGGUGCUUUUGUGGUAUCCGUCAAAAAGCAAUGCUCUGUGAAAGUGACUCAUUUCUAUAACAAACAGGAGAGCACUAAAUUCCAUUCAAUAACCCUAACUUGACCGACCAUGUAAAGGGCCUGGAUAAGGAUUAUUUCACGAAGUUGAGUCGACAACUGCAAAUGGAUUAGAAGCAGCCGCAAGUCACGUAUCUCAUCUAAAGUAUAAAGUCAGGUAUCAAGUCAAGGGUGAGGGGCAGUCAAGAGCAGAAGCAACAGAAGAGAGAUAUUAAGCAGUAUCCGGUGAGGAGGUAGAACCCAGAUCUUGAAAGUCCAAAGUGCGGGUGUUGCUGACUCGAAUGAAGCAGCGGCUGGUUAAGGGAAGGGAAUAGAAUGAAUUGCUUGUUCAACUCCAAUGUAUUAAGAAUUCAUUGAAUCCAUCGAGCUCCCUAAAGCCAGUUCUGCAAACCUAUAUUUCUUUCUUUAUUGCUUGCUCGGCGUGCCCCUUUGCUUCUUUCUCUCUUCCGGCAUAAUCAUCUUUAUCAGCAUCCAACGCUCUAGCUCCAUACAAGAGUACUUUCUAGGCGCUCUUCCUAUCCUCUCCUUCUAUAAUGAAAGCAUCCUUUCUUUCCUAGCACCGACGAAAGCAUCCUUUCUUUCCUAGCACCGACCAAGGCAUCCCCUUUCCCUCAAAUACUUGUUCUAGAAACUAUGGCUUGUUCUGUGCGUACCUCAAUUCCUUCUUCAGCGCUAAGGGAAUUCCUGUCUUCAUCUUAAAGUCGAGUGAGCGGAGGAAUAAAGUACUGGUGCGCGAACGGGAGUUUUAGUUGAUUGACUCGUUCGUUGAUUUAGUAUAUAAAGGGUAUUUAGAGAUAGAUUCCAUUCCAGUAGUUUGGAGUGCGAGAUAUCUUCUUUUUGGAUUUUCCAUUUCAUUCUUUGUUUACUCUGUUAAAGAUAAGAAAUAACUGGUAGACUCGGUACUUAGGGAGUUUCUGCUUGAUGGAAAUUCCCAUUACAUGGAACACAUAAGUUCAGAAAUGCAUCUUUGAGUUGCGCUAACCAUACUUCUUGUAUGGGGUUAGGUGCUUUAGAGUUGUCGCGGGUAGGUGCUUUAUAGAGAACAAGUAAUCUGAAUCUACUAAGCAAGAAGAUCUUCCGCGCACUAAGCAAUCUUAUCUUCUUCAAUAGGAUCUUGAACUGGACGAACAGAACUCGUAUUUACUUCAGGACAUAUGUUAGGUUCUCUUGCUGGUUAAGUUGCGCUUACGUGAGCGGGUGCUAAUAUUAGUCAUGGGAGUGAAGUAUGUUAGAUUACUCAAUUAUAAGCUGCAGCGGGCGAAAUCCUAGAAUGUUGCUAUGAGAGAAGCGUCGAGAAGCUAAGGUAAAGUAUCAAAAAGGUUUCGUUUAGGCCAAGCCGAUCACGAUCAGAUGAAAGGGAAGCCGUGUGUGUUGUUACAAUUUCUUUCUAUACCAUGCAAAAGAUGUAUUCAAUUCCUAACUUACAGUAUAGUUUGAGUUAGCCGUUGCUGCUUUUUCUGCUAGAGCUCCUUUUCGUUUCAAAGUCUUAGAAUCGACAAGUUUUCACCAGCUUACUGAGUUAUUAGAGUUAACGCCAGAGUUAUUAGAGUGUUUGCGAGCCAUUGUAUAGAAACACGUAGAAACACGGGUCAUUACAGAUCUAUUCUGAAAUAAUGUAUGUUCCAGAUCUAUUCAGAAAUUCCAUUCAACCAGAAAGCGCUUCCGCAAGUAAAGUUCCUGUUCGAAAGUCAGCAAACGAUUCAUCAAGUAGAGGUCGGGCAAGACGAACAAGUGGUGGGAGUGUAGUUCGGGCAAGUUCCAUGUAGGGUUUGACUGGUUUACUCAGAACAACAAUACUUUGUUGAGAGAGAGGUGAAUCGACAAGAGAAUCCGCAGCAAGCUUAGAAGAAAGGUUCAAGCGCAAGUCCUAUUAUCUUUCGGGAGCUCACACAGCAUCAUAUCUGACUUUAGCCUAAAAUCCUUAUUGAGUGUCGAGCGCAGAAGAAGAACCUAUCUCGGCGUCAACUAAAACUUAUUCCACCUUUUAUCUAUCAUUGCCAACUAACAAGCAAGGGAAGGAGCUACUGCAGGACAAUAUGCCAAUUCCUCAUCACCCAUAGGAAAUGACUAGAAAUAUCCGUUUCAGCGUUAACCGACAGUUGGACCACUACCCGGGCCGGGCCCUCAUUCUGUACACCACCUAGCUUAUUGAGUUUGCACAUAUAGAAUAGUGUUUUGAGUUGGCACAGAUAGAAUAGGGCUUGUUCCACUAUCUGCUCUCGAGUCUAAUCCAGUUUAUGCUUUUGGAGAAAUAGAGGGAUCACCCCCUUUUUACCUUAAUAAGAGGCCAAACCUUGAGAAAUGGGGAAAGCAUCAUCCCUUUGAAGCCUUAAUUCGUGGGUAGCUUCCGGUCUAUAGAUUUGUAUAGUAGCGGUCGUUUUCUAGGAAAAGGUAGUGGGCUAUAUAUAUACUAUCUUUCUUAGUAGUACCAUCUUCAGUACGGGCUGGCUUAGGAAGUACCUUUAUAUUGUGAGCAGGCACAGUUCAAGUCAAGUGUUUCAAUUCUAAGAAAAUCCUAUACUAUCUAUCAUUAGUAAGCUUUGAAUGGGGGGAAAGGAAAGGAAAGAGGAAAGGUACUGCUAUUCAUCCCUAGAUUGAGAAAAUGAUGCCUGCUAUAAGUAUAGAUAAAGCAGAAGAAAUCCUAUAUGGGACAAACUCUGUAUCGCCUAGUAAAUGUGCUUAUCGAGAAUUAUGGAGUUGGUUGGAAGGAGUUGGAAAGCAGCUAUCUGCGCCCUUCCUCGUUUCUGGGUGCCUCCGCCCUUAUUCGCACUUCCGCCUCUUUCUUUCUCUUU